CCUGGCGGCAGCCUAACCAUGCAGUCGAGCGGUAUAGAGAAGCUUGCUUCUCUUGAGAGCGGCGGACGGGUGAGUAAUGCCUAGGAAUCUGCCUGGUAGUGGGGGAUAACGUUCGGAAACGGACGCUAAUACCGCAUACGUCCUACGGGAGAAAGCAGGGGACCUUCGGGCCUUGCGCUAUCAGAUGAGCCUAGGUCGGAUUAGCUAGUUGGUGGGGUAAUGGCUCACCAAGGCGACGAUCCGUAACUGGUCUGAGAGGAUGAUCAGUCACACUGGAACUGAGACACGGUCCAGACUCCUACGGGAGGCAGCAGUGGGGAAUAUUGGACAAUGGGCGAAAGCCUGAUCAGCCAUGCCGCGUGUGUGAAGAAGGUCUUCGGAUUGUAAAGCACUUUAAGUUGGGAGGAAGGGCCGUUACCUAAUACGUGAUGGUUUUGACGUUACCGACAGAAUAAGCACCGGCUAACUCUGUGCCAGCAGCCGCGGUAAUAACGAGGGUGCAAGCGUUAAUCGGAAUUACUGGGCGUAAAGCGCGCGUAGGUGGUUUGUUAAGUUGGAUGUGAAAUCCCCGGGCUCAACCUGGGAACUGCAUUCAAAACUGACUGACUAAAGUAUGGUAGAGGGUGGUGGAAUUUCCUGUGUAGCGGAGAAAUGCGUAGAUAUAGGAAGGAACACCAGUGGCCCACGCGACCACCUGGACUGAUACUGACACUGAGGUGCGAAAGCGUGCGGAGCAAAAGGAUUAUAUACCCUGGUAGUCCACGCCGUAAACGAUGUCAACUAGCCGUUGGUCCCUUGAGCUCUUAGGGGCGCAAUAAACGCAUUAAGUUGACCGCCUGGGGGAGUACGGGCCGCAAGGUUUAAAACUCCAAGUGAAUUUGACGGGGGGCCCGCACAAGCGGUGGGAGCAUGUGGUUUAAUUCCGAAGGCAACGCGAAAAACCCUUAACCAGGCCCUUGACAUCCAAUGAAACUUUUCUAGAGAUGGAUUGGUGCCUUUCGGGGAACAUUGAAGACAGGGUGCUGAAUGGGCUGGCCGUCAGCUCGGG
Molecule: ribosomal RNA, 1048 nt
Filed under: Pseudomonas sp. ADC3
Lineage: Bacteria; Pseudomonadati; Pseudomonadota; Gammaproteobacteria; Pseudomonadales; Pseudomonadaceae
Description: bacterial SSU rRNA
Rfam family: Bacterial small subunit ribosomal RNA
Source: RNAcentral